GCGGAAGUGGCGAAAUUGGUAGACGCACCAGAUUUAUGUUCUGGCGCCGCGAGGCGUAAGAGUUCAAGUUUCUUCUUCCGCACCA
Molecule: transfer RNA, 85 nt
Filed under: Vibrio cholerae
Lineage: Bacteria; Pseudomonadati; Pseudomonadota; Gammaproteobacteria; Vibrionales; Vibrionaceae
Description: tRNA-Ile
Rfam family: tRNA
About the family: Transfer RNA (tRNA) molecules are approximately 80 nucleotides in length. Their secondary structure includes four short double-helical elements and three loops (D, anti-codon, and T loops). Further hydrogen bonds mediate the characteristic L-shaped molecular structure. tRNAs have two regions of fundamental functional importance: the anti-codon, which is responsible for specific mRNA codon recognition, and the 3' end, to which the tRNAs corresponding amino acid is attached (by aminoacyl-tRNA synthetases). tRNAs cope with the degeneracy of the genetic code in two manners: having more than one tRNA (with a specific anti-codon) for a particular amino acid; and 'wobble' base-pairing, i.e. permitting non-standard base-pairing at the 3rd anti-codon position.
Source: RNAcentral